Molecule: long non-coding RNA, 1508 nt
Filed under: Ricinus communis (castor bean)
Lineage: Eukaryota; Viridiplantae; Streptophyta; Magnoliopsida; Malpighiales; Euphorbiaceae
Description: long non-coding RNA (RCOM_LNC003466)
Source: RNAcentral
CUGUAUUUUACCAGGAAAAUUGAACCACAACAUCCUUGCUAAAUAACUAGUCUGGCAUGUUUCUUCGUGGUCUUGGGAGUUAAAGCCACUGAUUGGACAAUAAUUUAGCUUUCAGGCAAAGUUUCUAAAACAGAGAAUUAAUGAAGGAAAAGAGUUUUUUUUUUUUAAUUUUGCAGUUAUAGGAGAUUUUAGAAAAGGGCAUAUCCAGCGUUCUUAGUAUUUUUUUGGGUGAAACUUUUAGAUAUUUUUUAAAAUGAAUGAAGGUGGUGCUUAUUUUUGGUGGGACCUGCAAGUUAAAUGGGGCAUUUUGUUUUGUGCAACUAAAGCUGGCUGAAUUUCAUUUAAGAUGAAGGCAGUUAGUACUUGUAUAUUAAUUUGCACAUAAUUUGUAAUUUAGCAGAGGACAGUGGAUUGGUAUUUUAUUCUUAUGUAUGGCUGUAAAUUUUUAUUUUUGAGCGUCCAAAUUUCGAGGAAGGAUAAAUGUGAUUCAACUAAGAUUACAGGCUAGUGAACUGAUUGCUGUUUUACAAUUUUACAAGGGUUAAAGUGGGAGUGAAAAGAUGUGUUUCUGUGUGAUGCCAAGGGCAAUUCAUCAGAUAUUGCUGAAGCCUUAUGUACUUUUUUGGUUAUAUUUUUAAUCGAGAAGUGGAGUUGCUGAGAAUUGAACUUAAGAGACUGAUUCUUUUCUUUAGACCUAAUGAAGAUAUGAUGUAAUUUUCAAAAUGUUAGAGGAGCAAUUUAUAAACUGAUCAGUUCUCUCUCUUUUAGGAUUUUCAUGUGGAGAGAAGCUAAUACAGUUGUCUUUGAGCUAACAAAAAUAGGAAAAGCCCUGGAGUUUGAGUAUGCAUGAGGUAUAGAUGUCUCACUGGCCAUUAAUUGUUUGCGAUAUCGUGAACACUUUGUUUCUUACCGGAGUUUGUUUCCAUUUGGAAAAAUAAGAAGCCCCUGCACUAGUUGAGCUGUCUGGCUUGCUGGCAAGUGGGUGGCCAGUUGGGUUUUCAAUCCCGGUUAAAAAAUUUGUUGUUCUGAAGAUGUUAAAGACUGAAUGCAAGGUAGUGAAGAAGGUUUUUAAAGAUGCUUCGCAUUAAUAUUACUUAGUUGGCCCAGAUUCACUGCUCUGAUUUGAAACUGAUAAAUUUUAGACAGGAGAUUGAGAAUUAGAUUUCAUCUGUGAGAUGAAUAUGGUAAGAUUGAGAAUUUGAUCAUAGAGAUCAAUAUGGUAAGAUGUUGUGCAAAACUACAAGUACUUGCGGAAAUAUUUAAGGCAUUUUUUUCCUUCAUUAAUUAAUUAUCACUUCUUUUUUUCCAUUUAUAUAUGAAAGGAAUUUUCUUUCUCAUAAUUUGAGCUGAUCUAACCAUUUUUAGGUGAAAGCUUUUCUGAGACUUUGGGACUAAUAACUGGGGAUAUUGGUAAUCACCAUUAACAGCCUAGUCCCCACAUCUUUAGAGACAUGUGACAAUUUAUUCAUCUGGAGCUAUUUUUUAGAUUUUUAAUUUUUAAUAUAGCG